RNAcentral lists this unclassified non-coding RNA (279 nucleotides) under plant metagenome. Its description in RNAcentral is "partial contains small subunit ribosomal RNA, internal transcribed spacer 1, and 5.8S ribosomal RNA". The record is from RNAcentral.
UCUCCGUUGGUGAACCAGCGGAGGGAUCAUUACAGAGUUUUCACAGCUCCCAACCCUUUGUAACCGUACCCGUUCCGGUCUCGUUGCUUCCGGCCGGGGGGGCGGGGGGGCCCGAAACGGCCUCCCCGCCCCGCCCGCCGGCGGCGGCGGGCCCUACGACCCUUUAUAUAUCAACCACCAAAAAACGUCUCAAAAACCGAACCAAAUACUCAAAACUUUCAACAACAGGUCUCUUUGCUCUAGCAUCCAUGACGAAACCCCCAGCUCGUAAGAGCACCC